RNAcentral lists this long non-coding RNA (787 nucleotides) under Ananas comosus (pineapple). Its description in RNAcentral is "long non-coding RNA (ACOM_LNC012159)". Lineage: Eukaryota; Viridiplantae; Streptophyta; Magnoliopsida; Poales; Bromeliaceae. The record is from RNAcentral.
AUAUAGAGAGAGAGAGAGAGAGAGAAAGAGAGAGAGAGAGCAAGGCUGUUGUUCUCUCAGGAGCACGAAGGCCUCCGUACUCCUUAGGCGUUUUCGAUGAUGGAAUUUUCGAAUUGACGAUCGGCUCCGUUAGACUUGAUCUAGCGCAUUUGAAGUUUCUAGAAAAUGAGUUUUGUUAUUUUUUGAUAUCAUUUACCUAGUGAUCGAAAUGAUUCAAAAUCCAUAAUUUUUAAUAGUUGAUAUCUGCCGUUUUCAAGUUUAACGGUGUAGAAGUAUUCAAAUGAGAUAAAAUUUUGAUACAAAAUUCUUUAUACUAUCUACAACAAGUUCAAUAUUUUUGAUCGAAAAUUUUAGUGCUAUAUUACCACUUUUUAUAGGAUUUUUAUUUUCAACCGUUAAAAAUUAUUGAUUUUGAAUACUUUCGAUUGCUAGGUAAAUGGUAUCGAAAAAUCACAAAAAUUAUUUUCUAGAAAUUUCAAAUACGCUAGAUCAAGUCUAACGGAGCCGAUCGUCGAUUCGAAAAUUUCAUCAUUGAAAAUGGCUCAGGAGCACGGAGGCCUCCGUGCUCCUAAGAGCACAGCAGCCCUGCUCUCUCUCUCUCUAUAUAUAUAUAUAUAUAUAUAUAUAUAUAUAUAUAUAUAUAUAUAUAUGCUGGGGCUACUAUACUCUUAUGAGUAUAAAACCCCUUGUACUAAUAAAUUUUUAACCGUUGAUUGAUGGGUUGUGUGGUUAGGAUGAUGGUGGUCCCCACUUAGAAUGAUAGUGGUCCCCUAGGGUUGAGUGGGUA